Molecule: long non-coding RNA, 494 nt
Organism: Gadus morhua (Atlantic cod)
Lineage: Eukaryota; Metazoa; Chordata; Actinopteri; Gadiformes; Gadidae
Exons: 3
Source: RefSeq, a predicted model, not a curated record
ACUCAAGCCUCUGACCCCCUGGCCUCUAACAACGGGACUCAAGCCUCUGACCCCCUGGCCUCUAACAACGGGACUCAAGCCUCUGACCCCCUGACCACUAACAACGGGACUCAAGCCUCUGACCCUUUGGCCUCUAACGCCUCUAACAACGUGACUCAAGCCUCUGACAACCACAAACUGGCCUCCGACAUCUCUGAGAAGCCUGCUUCGAGUCAAAGCAACAACUCCAUGAUGCCCAUUCAUCACAAUCAAAAUGUUUCACAAACAUCGCUAAGCAAAGGUUGCAGGAAACACUAUAAGGCCGUUGGACUACAAUUGCUUCAGGCGAUCUCAAAUUACAAGGAUGUUAAAGAAGUAAGCCGAGAGUCGGAUCAGGUGAACGCCGAGGCAUCAUCAGGAACUGACCCCAAAGCAGUCGGGGCUGCUUUGGAUGCCAACGAUUUAGCCGCUCUGAAUAAUGUUUUAACUGGACAACAGCAUAAUGGACAAGAAAC